This 46-nucleotide non-coding RNA is filed under the name Echinostoma caproni. Lineage: Eukaryota; Metazoa; Platyhelminthes; Trematoda; Plagiorchiida; Echinostomatidae. The record is from RNAcentral.
GCACUGCUGACGAGUCCAAAACAGGAUGAAACAGGAUGUCCGGUGC